AGGUGCUUGCACCUUUCAAGCGAGUGGCGAACGGGUGAGUAACACGUGGAUAACCUGCCUCAAGGCUGGGGAUAACAUUUGGAAACAGAUGCUAAUACCGAAUAAAACUUAGUAUCGCAUGAUAUCAAGUUAAAAGGCGCUACGGCGUCACCUAGAGAUGGAUCCGCGGUGCAUUAGUUAGUUGGUGGGGUAAAGGCUUACCAAGACGAUGAUGCAUAGCCGAGUUGAGAGACUGAUCGGCCACAUUGGGACUGAGACACGGCCCAAACUCCUACGGGAGGCUGCAGUAGGGAAUCUUCCACAAUGGGCGCAAGCCUGAUGGAGCAACGCCGCGUGUGUGAUGAAGGCUUUCGGGUCGUAAAGCACUGUUGUAUGGGAAGAAAUGCUAAAAUAGGGAAUGAUUUUAGUUUGACGGUACCAUACCAGAAAGGGACGGCUAAAUACGUGCCAGCAGCCGCGGUAAUACGUAUGUCCCGAGCGUUAUCCGGAUUUAUUGGGCGUAAAGCGAGCGCAGACGGUUGAUUAAGUCUGAUGUGAAAGCCCGGAGCUCAACUCCGGAAUGGCAUUGGAAACUGGUUAACUUGAGUGUUGUAGAGGUAAGUGGAACUCCAUGUGUAAGC
Molecule: ribosomal RNA, 620 nt
Filed under: Leuconostoc sp.
Lineage: Bacteria; Bacillati; Bacillota; Bacilli; Lactobacillales; Lactobacillaceae
Description: bacterial SSU rRNA
Rfam family: Bacterial small subunit ribosomal RNA
Source: RNAcentral